RNAcentral lists this ribosomal RNA (51 nucleotides) under fungal endophyte sp. P22-006. RNAcentral describes it as "partial 28S ribosomal RNA". The record is from RNAcentral. Lineage: Eukaryota; Fungi.
UUGACCUCGGAUCAGGUAGGGAAUACCCGCUGAACUUAAGCAUAUCAUUUA